CCGCCGCGGUAAGACGGAGGGGGCAAGCGUUGUCCGGACUCACUGGGCGUAAAGGGUGCGCAGGCGGUGCCGUGCGUCGGCGCUGAAAGCGCCCGGCUUAACCGGGCGAGGUGCGGCGAUACGACGGCACUGGAGGCAGGUAGAGGUUGGCGGAAUUCCGGGUGUAGUGGUGAAAUGCGUAGAGAUCCGGAGGAACGUCGGUGGCGUAAGCGGCCAACUGGGCCUGACCUGACGCUGAGGCACGAAAGCGUGGGGAGCGAACCGGAUUAGAUACCCGGGUAGUCCACGCCGUAAACGAUGUCGGCUCGGUGUGUGAUGCUAUUACGGUGUCGCGUGCCCAAGCUCACGCGGUAAGCCGACCGCCUGGGGACUACGGCCGCAAGGCUAAAACUCAAAGGAAUUGACGGGGGCCCGCACAAGCAGCGGAGCGUGUGGUUUAAUUCGACGCAACGCGAAGAACCUUACCCAGAUUUGACAUGCGACUGCAAGCGCACGGAAACGUGUGACCUUCGAGGGUGUCGCACAGGUGCUGCAUGGCUGUCGUCAGCUCGCGUCGUGAGAUGUUGGGUUAAGUCCCGCAACGAGCGCAACCCUCGCCGUCAGUUAUCAGUGUCUGGUGGGACUGCCGGCUGUAUGGUCGGAGGAAGGCGGGGAUGACGUCAAGUCCGCAUGGCCCGGACGUCUGGGGCGACACACACGCUACAAUGACCAGCACAGCACGCUGCAAACCCGCAAGGGGGAGCUAAUCGCCAAAGCUGGUCUCAGUGCAGAUCGGGGGCUGCAACUCGCCCCCGUGAAGGCGGAGUUGCUAGUAACCGCGUAUCAGCCAUGGCGCGGUGAAUACGU
This 846-nucleotide ribosomal RNA is filed under the name uncultured Chloroflexota bacterium. Its description in RNAcentral is "bacterial SSU rRNA". It matches the Rfam family "Bacterial small subunit ribosomal RNA", at positions 512 to 1371 of the family's 1533-position model. The record is from RNAcentral. Lineage: Bacteria; Bacillati; Chloroflexota.